Molecule: ribosomal RNA, 167 nt
Filed under: uncultured Nitrosomonadales bacterium
Lineage: Bacteria; Pseudomonadati; Pseudomonadota; Betaproteobacteria; Nitrosomonadales
Description: partial 16S ribosomal RNA
Rfam family: Bacterial small subunit ribosomal RNA
Source: RNAcentral
GGGGGCAUGGGCGCAGCCUGAUCCAGCAAUGCCGCGUGAGUGAAGAAGGCCUUCGGGUUGUAAAGCUCUUUCAGUCGAGAAGAAAAGGCUGCAGUGAAUAACUGUAGUUCAUGACGGUAUCGACAGAAGAAGCACCGGCUAACUACGUGCCAGCAGCCGCGGUAAUA